Molecule: ribosomal RNA, 440 nt
Filed under: uncultured bacterium
Lineage: Bacteria
Description: partial 16S ribosomal RNA
Rfam family: Bacterial small subunit ribosomal RNA
Source: RNAcentral
CCUACGGGGGGCAGCAGUGGGGGAUAUUGCACAAUGGGGGAAACCCUGAUGCAGCGACGCCGCGUGUGGGAAGACGGUCCUCUGGGUUGUAAACCACUGUCCCCAGGGACGAAGAUGACGGUACCUGGGGAGGAAGCUCCGGCUAACUACGUGCCAGCAGCCGCGGGAAUACGUAGGGAGCGGGCGUUGUCCGGAAUUACUGGGGGUAAAGGGAGCGUAGGCGGGGAUGCAAGUUGGGGGUCAAAACUACGGGCUAAACUGGGGGUCGCACUGAAAACUGCAGCUCUUGAGUGAAGGAGAGGCAGGCGGAAUUCCUAGUGUAGCGGUGAAAUGCGUAGAUAUUAGGAGGAACACCAGUGGCGAAGGCGGCCUGCUGGGCUUUUACUGACGCUGAGGCUCGAAAGUGUGGGGAGCAAACAGGAUUAGAUACCCGAGUAGUC